UACGUAGGGGGCUAGCGUUGUCCGGAAUCAUUGGGCGUAAAGAGCGCGUAGGCGGCCCGGUAAGUCCGUUGUGAAAGUCAAAGGCUCAACCUUUGAAAGCCGAUGGAUACUGCCGGGCUAGAGUCCGGAAGAGGCGAGUGGAAUUCCUGGUGUAGCGGUGGAAUGCGCAGAUAUCAGGAGGAACACCUAUAGCGAAGGCAGCUCGCUGGGACGGUACUGACGCUGGGGCGCGAAAGCGUGGGGAGCGGACAGG
Molecule: unclassified non-coding RNA, 253 nt
Filed under: uncultured Solirubrobacterales bacterium
Lineage: Bacteria; Bacillati; Actinomycetota; Thermoleophilia; Solirubrobacterales
Description: contains 16S-23S intergenic spacer region
Rfam family: Bacterial small subunit ribosomal RNA
Source: RNAcentral